CAGUGUGUACGAAUGGACUGUUCAAACCGUCUUUGAACUUCAGGUUCUUAGUGCAACACCAGCAGAAUCCUGGUGGGUGGUUGAUUGUUCUUUU
This is a long non-coding RNA of Strigops habroptila (Kakapo), 94 nucleotides long. RefSeq lists it as uncharacterized. Lineage: Eukaryota; Metazoa; Chordata; Aves; Psittaciformes; Psittacidae. The transcript has 3 exons. The record is from RefSeq and is a predicted model, not a curated record.